GGUCUUUUGCAGUAAUACAGUGAAGGGUUGCAGCCUCCCUUGCUGUGUUGGCCAGAGACCUAUAGUAACGGAGAGGAUCAUUGUUGUGACAACUCUAAGCAAUGAGCUGUCAUAUUUUCCUGCCUCUUACAAUU
Callorhinchus milii (elephant shark) is the source of this 134-nucleotide non-coding RNA. Lineage: Eukaryota; Metazoa; Chordata; Chondrichthyes; Chimaeriformes; Callorhinchidae. The record is from RefSeq and is a predicted model, not a curated record.